RNAcentral lists this ribosomal RNA (464 nucleotides) under uncultured bacterium. RNAcentral's name for it is "partial 16S ribosomal RNA". It matches the Rfam family "Bacterial small subunit ribosomal RNA", at positions 28 to 507 of the family's 1533-position model. The record is from RNAcentral.
GACGAACGCUGGCGGCGUGCUUAACACAUGCAAGUCGAGCGGUAAGGCCUCUUCGGGGGUACACGAGCGGCGAACGGGUGAGUAACACGUGUGUGACCUGCCCUCAGCUCUGGGAUAAGCCUGGGAAACUGGGUCUAAUACCUGAUAUGACCACAUGUUGCAUGGUGUUUGGUGGAAAGUUUUUUCUGCUGGGGAUGGGCUUGCGGCCUAUCAGCUUGUUGGUGGGGUGAUGGCCUACCAAGGCGACGACGGGUAGCCGGCCUGAGAGGGCGACCGGCCACACUGGGACUGAGACACGGCCCGGACUAGUACGGGAGGCAGCAGUGGGGAAGAUUGCGCGAUGGGCGGAAGCCUGGUGCAGCGACGCCGCGUGGGGGAUGAUGGCCUUCGGUUUGUAGACCACUGUCGGCCGGAACGAAGCGUAAGUGACGGUACCGGUAGAAGAAGCACCGGCCAACUCCGUG